GACGAACGCUGGCGGCGUGCUUAACACAUGCAAGUCGAACGAAAAGAGGGAAAGAGCUUGCUCUUUCCGGAAUUGAGUGGCAAACGGGUGAGUAACACGUAAACAACCUGCCUUCAGGAUGGGGACAACAGACGGAAACGACUGCUAAUACCGAAUAAGUUCCAAGAGCCGCAUGGCCCAUGGAAGAAAAGGUGGCCUCUACCUGUAAGCUAUCGCCUGAAGAGGGGUUUGCGUCUGAUUAGCUGGUUGGAGGGGUAACGGCCCACCAAGGCGACGAUCAGUAGCCGGUCUGAGAGGAUGAACGGCCACACUGGAACUGAGACACGGUCCAGACUCCUACGGGAGGCAGCAGUGGGGAAUCUUCCGCAAUGGGCGAAAGCCUGACGGAGCAACGCCGCGUGAGUGAUGACGGCCUUCGGGUUGUAAAACUCUGUGAUCCGGGACGAAAAGGCAGAGUGCGAAGAACAAACUGCAUUGACGGUACCGGAAAAGCAAGCCACGGCUAACUACGUG
Molecule: ribosomal RNA, 513 nt
Filed under: uncultured bacterium
Lineage: Bacteria
Description: partial 16S ribosomal RNA
Rfam family: Bacterial small subunit ribosomal RNA
Source: RNAcentral